GCAACGCGUGGCGCAGUGGCUAAGCGGCUCGCCUUUGGAGCAAAAGGUCCGGGGUUCGAUUCUCCGUGGGGGUGUA
Molecule: non-coding RNA, 76 nt
Organism: Caenorhabditis elegans
Lineage: Eukaryota; Metazoa; Nematoda; Chromadorea; Rhabditida; Rhabditidae
Source: the annotation of a RefSeq genome assembly